GAUGCACUCACAGGUCUUUGUCAAAAUAUAAUGUGGUUUAUUUAAAUAAUAUGCAUACAGCAAGUUUAUUUUUGCUGUAUGCAUAUUAUUUAAAUAAACCACAUUAUAUUUUGACAAAGACCUGUGAGUGCAUC
Non-coding RNA from Pelobates cultripes (western spadefoot toad), 134 nucleotides. Lineage: Eukaryota; Metazoa; Chordata; Amphibia; Anura; Pelobatidae. The record is from the annotation of a GenBank genome assembly.